Molecule: ribosomal RNA, 465 nt
Filed under: Vreelandella stevensii
Lineage: Bacteria; Pseudomonadati; Pseudomonadota; Gammaproteobacteria; Oceanospirillales; Halomonadaceae
Description: partial 16S ribosomal RNA
Rfam family: Bacterial small subunit ribosomal RNA
Source: RNAcentral
CCUACGGGUGGCAGCAGUGGGGAAUAUUGGACAAUGGGGGGAACCCUGAUCCAGCCAUGCCGCGUGUGUGAAGAAGGCCCUCGGGUUGUAAAGCACUUUCAGUGAGGAAGAACGCCUGGUGGUUAAUACCCAUCAGGAAAGACAUCUCUCACAGAAGAAGCACCGGCUAACUCCGUGCCAACAGCCGCGGUAAUACGGAGGGUGCGAGCGUUAAUCGGAAUUACUGGGCGUAAAGCGCGCGUAGGUGGCUUGAUAAGCCGGUUGUGAAAGCCCCGGGCUCAACCUGGGAACGGCAUCCGGAACUGUCAAGCUAGAGUGCAGGAGAGGAAGGUAGAAUUCCCGGUGUAGCGGUGAAAUGCGUAGAGAUCGGGAGGAAUACCAGUGGCGAAGGCGGCCUUCUGGACUGACACUGACACUGAGGUGCGAAAGCGUGGGUAGCAAACAGGAUUAGAUACCCUAGUAGUC